This 1207-nucleotide ribosomal RNA is filed under the name metagenome. RNAcentral's name for it is "bacterial SSU rRNA". It matches the Rfam family "Bacterial small subunit ribosomal RNA", at positions 298 to 1498 of the family's 1533-position model. The record is from RNAcentral.
GUUUGAUCGGCCACAUUGGGACUGAGACACGGCCCAAACUCCUACGGGAGGCAGCAGUAGGGAAUCUUCCACAAUGGACGAAAGUCUGAUGGAGCAACGCCGCGUGAAUGAAGAAGGCCUUCGGGUCGUAAAAUUCUGUUGUCAGAGAAGAAUGUGCGUGAGAGUAACUGUUCACGUAUUGACGGUAUCUGACCAGAAAGCCACGGCUAACUACGUGCCAGCAGCCGCGGUAAUACGUAGGUGGCAAGCGUUGUCCGGAUUUAUUGGGCGUAAAGGGAACGCAGGCGGUCUUUUAAGUCUGAUGUGAAAGCCUUCGGCUUAACCGAAGUAGUGCAUUGGAAACUGGAAGACUUGAGUGCAGAAGAGGAGAGUGGAACUCCAUGUGUAGCGGUGAAAUGCGUAGAUAUAUGGAAGAACACCAGUGGCGAAAGCGGCUCUCUGGUCUGUAACUGACGCUGAGGUUCGAAAGCGUGGGUAGCAAACAGGAUUAGAUACCCUGGUAGUCCACGCCGUAAACGAUGAGUGCUAAGUGUUGGAGGGCUUCCGCCCUUCAGUGCUGCAACUAACGCAUUAAGCACUCCGCCUGGGGAGUACGGUCGCAAGACUGAAACUCAAAGGAAUUGACGGGGGCCCGCACAAGCGGUGGAGCAUGUGGUUUAAUUCGAAGCAACGCGAAGAACCUUACCAGGUCUUGACAUCUUCUGACAAUUCCAGAGAUGGAACGUUCCCUUCGGGGACAGAAUGACAGGUGGUGCAUGGUUGUCGUCAGCUCGUGUCGUGAGAUGUUGGGUUAAGUCCCGCAACGAGCGCAACCCUUAUUGUCAGUUGCCAUCAUUAAGUUGGGCACUCUGGCGAGACUGCCGGUGACAAACCGGAGGAAGGUGGGGAUGACGUCAAAUCAUCAUGCCCCUUAUGACCUGGGCUACACACGUGCUACAAUGGACGGUACAACGAGUCGCUAACUCGCGAGGGCAAGCUAAUCUCUUAAAGCCGUUCUCAGUUCGGAUUGCAGGCUGCAACUCGCCUGCAUGAAGUCGGAAUCGCUAGUAAUCGCGAAUCAGCAUGUCGCGGUGAAUACGUUCCCGGGCCUUGUACACACCGCCCGUCACACCAUGAGAGUUUGUAACACCCAAAGUCGGUGGGGUAACCUUUUGGAGCCAGCCGCCUAAGGUGGGACAGAUGAUUGGGGUGAAGUCGUAACAAGGUA